This is a long non-coding RNA of Diprion similis, 187 nucleotides long. RefSeq lists it as uncharacterized. Lineage: Eukaryota; Metazoa; Arthropoda; Insecta; Hymenoptera; Diprionidae. The transcript is spliced from 3 exons. The record is from RefSeq and is a predicted model, not a curated record.
ACAUUUCCAUAUACAAUACGGCACACGAAAACAAAACAUUUCGAAUACAGGUUAAUGAGAGAAAUUAAUGACACUGGUGUCAGGGCGGCUAGGUGGUCUAGUGGAGUAAGUCUCCGGCAAAGCAUCUCUAGAUACCAGGUUUGGUUCCUGGCUCCGUCGUUAAUUUUUCAAAUUUACAAUCUUUCGA